This 399-nucleotide ribosomal RNA is filed under the name Triticum aestivum (bread wheat). RNAcentral describes it as "partial small subunit ribosomal RNA". The record is from RNAcentral. Lineage: Eukaryota; Viridiplantae; Streptophyta; Magnoliopsida; Poales; Poaceae.
AUGAUAGCAUUCAGGGAUACCUUGGAGGUGUGUGAACUAAUCGAUCUUGGGUUCACGGGCCUGCCUUUCACAUAUGAUAAUAGAAGAGCGAGGUCGGCAAACGUCAAGGUGAGAUUGGACCGUGCGGUAGCUACAAAUGAUUGGCGAAAUUUGUUCACGUUUGCUGCAGUGGAACACAUACCGUCUCCAUGUUCAUACCACCUAGUUCUGUUUCUUAAAGGAGAACCGGACCCGGGUCCGGUGAAGGAGAAGUGUAGGAGGUAUGAGGUUUUUUGGGAGAGGGAUUCGGAGUUGCCACAAGUGGUGGAAGAUGCAUGGGUGGCGGUAGGAGAGAUUCACAGCCUCCCGCAGCUGAAAGAAGCUUUGGCAAAAACAAUGACUGCGUUACGGUCAUGGAGU